GAUUCAUCGUCAGCGAGGUCGGCUUCCAUGUGGUCUAGCGAUGAUGUCGUGCCUUCGGGCUCGAUUCACGCUGCCGCUGUGGUAUGCGUCCGAUCGCGUCGGCGUGCACUUCUCCCCCAGUAGAACGUCGCGACCCGCUGGGUGUCGGUCUAAGGGCCGGGAUCGUUGACUGUACCGUCGCUUCGGCGUUACGUGUGCAGACGCCCGGACUUUUUCCCGACCGACUGCCCGGCGGUAUAACAAAUGGUAUCGAGCCGCACUCGAAUGCGUUCAGACUCGUCGCAAGCUUGGUCAUUCUCAUACCGGUAAGGCGGACCCAGUGCCGCCCCUGGUGAUGAUCGGCUGUUGGCCGACGAUGCUCUCGAACCGGCUUACACUUGCUGUACCAGCGAUACCGGUCGGCGACGCUAUUGCUUUGGGUACUUUCAGGACCCGUCUUGAAACACGGACCAAGGAGUCUAACAUGUGCGCGAGUCAUUGGGAUCAUUGAAACCUAAAGGCGCAUUGAAAGAGAAGAUCGUCCUUGCGACGAUCGAGGGAGGAUGGGCUUAACAUCACGAUGUUGCUCCGCACUCCCGGGGCGUCUCGUAGUCAUUGCGACUUGAGGCGCACCCAGAGCGUACACGUUGGGACCCGAAAGAUGGUGAACUAUGCCUGGUCAGGACGAAGUCAGGGGAAACCCUGAUGGAGGUCCGUAGCGAUUCUGACGUGCAAAUCGAUCGUCGGAACUGGGUAUAGGGGCGAAAGACUAAUCGAACCAUC
Molecule: ribosomal RNA, 762 nt
Filed under: Trissolcus hyalinipennis
Lineage: Eukaryota; Metazoa; Arthropoda; Insecta; Hymenoptera; Scelionidae
Description: partial large subunit ribosomal RNA
Rfam family: Eukaryotic large subunit ribosomal RNA
Source: RNAcentral